GCUCGCCGCGGUAAUACGGAGGGUGCAAGCGUUACUCGGAAUCACUGGGCGUAAAGGGCGCGUAGGCGGAUUAUCAAGUCUCUUGUGAAAUCUAAUGGCUUAACCAUUAAACUGCUUGGGAAACUGAUAGUCUAGAGUGAGGGAGAGGCAGAUGGAAUUGGUGGUGUAGGGGUAAAAUCCGUAGAUAUCACCAAGAAUACCCAUUGCGAAGGCGAUCUGCUGGAACUUAACUGACGCUAAG
This 241-nucleotide ribosomal RNA is filed under the name Campylobacter jejuni. Its description in RNAcentral is "partial 16S ribosomal RNA". It matches the Rfam family "Bacterial small subunit ribosomal RNA", at positions 511 to 750 of the family's 1533-position model. The record is from RNAcentral. Lineage: Bacteria; Pseudomonadati; Campylobacterota; Epsilonproteobacteria; Campylobacterales; Campylobacteraceae.